RNAcentral lists this ribosomal RNA (253 nucleotides) under uncultured bacterium. RNAcentral describes it as "partial 16S ribosomal RNA". It matches the Rfam family "Bacterial small subunit ribosomal RNA", at positions 524 to 776 of the family's 1533-position model. The record is from RNAcentral.
UACGGAGGGAGCUAGCGUUGUUCGGAAUUACUGGGCGUAAAGCGCACGUAGGCGGCUUUGUAAGUUAGAGGUGAAAGCCCGCGGCUCAACCCCGGAAUUGCCUUUAAGACUGCAUCGCUUGAAUCCGGGAGAGGUGAGUGGAAUUCCGAGUGUAGAGGUGAAAUUCGUAGAUAUUCGCAAGAACACCAGUGGCGAAGGCGGCUCACUGGCCCGAUACUGACGCUGAGGUGCGAAAGCGUGGGGAGCAAACAGG